Strongylocentrotus purpuratus (purple sea urchin) is the source of this 75-nucleotide non-coding RNA. The record is from Rfam. Lineage: Eukaryota; Metazoa; Echinodermata; Echinoidea; Camarodonta; Strongylocentrotidae.
ACAGUAAAAAAGUGGGGCCAUUGAAGGAGCGUUCACGUCGUGGUCCCUGUCAGAUGAAAAUCUGCGAAUCCUUCA